UAGCGGACUUUUAUUACAUCGACGCCAUUUUUCACGGUUAACGAACACGAGAGGUUGCUGCUCGAGACCUCAAGUCUGCAUUCUAAGAUUAAAGUAACGCCGGCACAGAAAGACCGAUCUUUUAAAAAUGUUAAAAAGAGAGAAAUUGACAUAUUUUAAAAUGCGCAGAGCUUCUGUGUCCUUGAAUGUCUCGCCUGCAAGGGAAAAAAUUCUGGAGUGAAGCUCUUCGUUUCCAUCUUUUCUCCAGUUCUUGUUUGUUUUGUAUCUCCAUGUUGUCCCUAUCCCUUUUGUACACGUGGAAAUCCCUGAUUGUGGAUGACUUCUGCAUUCAUCUGAAAACUGCAGCUGUGGAAAUCAUCCACCAUAAUGAAGGAAGCUGAAUUGUCCCAGUACCAUGUUCCUGGACAUCCCUGAUGGCAGAUCUGCACAUUUGACUGGUUGUGGCGAAACUGGAUGAAUCUUGUCCCAUCAGCUGUAGAAAUCUUCAGGCUAUGAUGGAAUUGCCAUGUCACAAAGCAGACUAGAAGCCGUCAUGUUGGUCUGAGGGAAAAAAUGUUUUACAAGGUCGCUAGUGAGCAGCGAUUUCGAUUUCUAAACCAACAUUUUAAAGGUAAUGGUUUGCUGUGUGUAAAUUACAAUAUUAAAAACUAAAAAUUAGGGCUGUCAAACGAUUAAAAUUUUUAAUCGCGUUAAUUACAGCUUAAAAAUUAAUCGCAAUUAAUCGCAAUUCAAACCAUCUAUAAAAUAUGCCAUAUUUUUCUGUAAAUUAUAUAUAUAUUCUGUAAAAUAAAUUGUUGGAAUGGAAAGAUAAGACACAAGAUGGAUAUAUACAUUCAACAUACGGUACAGAAGGACUGUAGUGGGCAUUUCACUCUACUGUCAUUUAAAUCUGUCUAUGCUGUCCUCACUCCGAAGCGUCUACUUUUUCCAAAGCUAGACAGCUAGUGAACGACGCCUUAAUAAUCAGACUUCUUCCUUUUUCAUCUGAUUAAUAAAAUGGCCUCAAACCAUUGUCCUCUUUAGACCGUCGUAAAACUACAAAAUAAAAGUACACAAGCAUUGCAUUAGCAACAACGUUAGCUUAGCACGCUAUACAGGUUCACUAAACAUAAACAAAAAGCGUCUCAUACAAAAAAUAUAACAUUUCGCUUACUAACAUAAUAUGUACAUUCUUUACAACAACCAUACUUACGGACAAAUCUUGUCCAAGGAUCAUAUAAGCACAACAUUAUCAGCCCGAGACGUCGUGCAGCCAUAAUGAAGAAAAGAAGAAAAUAAUAAACCAUGUCGCAAAGCGACCACAAGAGUUCGCUGUUGGACAGCGCAAAAAGCCUUGCUGUAAAACUUAGCAAAAGGCAGAAUACUUUCUGAGCGGGACAUGUGCGUUAAUUGCGUCAAAUAUUUUAACGUGAUUAAUUUAAAAAAUUAAUUACCGCGCGUUAACGCGAUAAUUUUGACAGCCCUACUAAAAAUGCAAAAAGGACAUGUUUUCAGUCACCAGUAUUUUUUUCCCCCAAAGUAUAGCACUCUUGAAUUUUAAGUCCGCUUUCAUCAAAGACAUGGGUGGCUGCCCUGUUCAACAUGUCUGUCUUAAGAAUAAAUUUCACCUACAUGUGACCAGUUUGUGGGUACCACAGAUACCUUAUAUCCUUACCCGUCCCUCCACGAUCUAGCAGAUUUAAAAACAUUUUUUGUGUGAUAGUUGUAGACAAAACUGCUUGAUUUUGUGGUAAUUUUAAAAACCUGUAAAGGGAUGAGGGUAAAGAAACUCGCAUGACUGGUCAAAAGUCAUGCAUAUUGGACAAAAUUGCAGUGCCUUGAAUUCACAAGAAUUGGUUGAAAAUGCGUUACUUUCAGUCACAAAUUCUGGAAUUGGUAACUGAUCAGGUGUGGACCAUUCUAAAAAUAUCAAUGAUUGGAUGUGCAUCUUUGAUAUUAUUUUCCCUGUAGUGAUCAUUUGAUGAGAUGCAUUUAAUUUAAUGGUAAGCUUAAUUGAGAAUCUGCCAGAGUGUGUGUUUCCCCCUAUAUCAAAAUGGCGGCUACUUGUCAACUUUGGGCAUUCCUGAACGCGCAGUGAUUGACUGGAUCCACUUCAGUACAUGUUGGGGUUAGAAGUUGUCUUCUGGCAGGAGGAAGUUGAUAUUACCUGUGGCAACCUGCCGACUCUUCUGCUAGCAAAACCGCUACCUCCCUUGGCUUGGGUUCAUUGAUCAGGACUCGGAAGUUCUCCACCCUGCAGAUGGAUUUCUGUCCUGAAGUUUCCCUCGGGGCUAUUUAUGAAAUAAUGCAUGUUUGAAAAAAAUAUACAUAUAGGGAGUGGAGGUGGGGGGUGUAGCCAUGGCAGCAAUGUCCUAUAUAGACCCUACCCACGUGACGUCACAACUCCGCUCUCCUGAAUGGUACCGCCCAAUUGUCCGUCAAAACAUAGUGUUAACCUGUUACGGCUACGUACAUUCCUCCUAUUUACGGCGUGUUUUUCUGCUCCUUAACAUUAAUAAUCAAAAUGGUGAAGGCGUGCGUGGCUGUUGGUUGCACUAACAGAGAAGAUGGAAGGAGAGACUUGAAGUUUUACCGUAUUCCGAGGGAUCCAAAGAGGAGAGCGAAAUGGACGGCUGCAAUUCGACGUGAAAACUGGGCACCAAAAAAUCACCACAGACUAUGUAGUAGUCAUUUUAUAUCCGGUAAGAUGCAUUUAAGAUAUACUUAGAGGUAGUGAUGGGUCCGUGAGACCUCAUGAAGCGUGUCGACACAGUGACACACUGUGUUGACACAGUGUGGAUACUGUGUCAUUGAAUACUGACACCUGCUGGACAUAAAAAAUCCCUACAGGCAACCCACUUGACAGACUGACACUGAAUUGAUGACAUAGCAUGUAAAAUCAAAUAAUUUAAGUCUUUGCAUUCAUAUUGCAUUAUUCCAUAUCUUUAAAUUAUGUGAACAUAUAUUAUAAUGUGAAAAUGUUAGUAAUAAUGAAUGGGUGAAUGAGGAAUGCCUGUGGACUUUUUGUUCUGUGACACUGAAUUGAUGACAUAGCAUGUAAAAUCAAAUAAUUUAAGUCUUUGCAUUCAUAUUGCAUUAUUCCAUAUCUUUAAAUUAUGUGAACAUAUAUUAUAAUGUGAAAAUGUUAGUAAUAAUGAAUGGGUGAAUGAGGAAUGCCUGUGGACUUUUUGUUCUGAUAAAAUUUUAUUCAAAAACAUAGUUUUUUUUUUUUUAAUGUUUAAAAUUUAGUUGGUUACCUUUUUAAAAUCAAACAAGCCUGCUGUGGACAACACACUCGCAUGGAACCAAUGAUGCCAGCAUGCACAAGAAUUUCCAGUUGAAAGAGGUUUGGAUAAGAUGUCCAUUGGCUCAGUUUGGCUUCGGUUCAUGUUCGGCUCAGCCAUGCAUCGUUGCACUUUUGCAAUUUCAUCUACAGUUGCAUUGCCUUCUUGACUCCCCACUUCGUGAUCUAAGUGCUACCAUAACCCACCAGAAAGAAAUUGAAGUGGACAAAAAAUAAAUUAUAGCUUAAUUACAGAUUUCUAAUAAAUUACCAAAAAAGUGACUGUGGGAAAGUAAAGGAAUGGCUCUAUACCUGUGUUUAUUUUGGGAUUAUCAGAAACUUCAUUCUCAUGCUUGGGCCAGUAAUGCUUCAGCAUUGAGAAGGUGGCAACUGUUUGUAUAUGGCAGGUUAGUCAUAUACAAAGUACAAAUGCAACAUUUCACCUGCAAAAAAAAAAAAAAUAACUUUAAUAGUAAAACCGAAAAUUUUGGUCUUGCGCUGCGAUAUGUUCUGACCAGGAUUCGAACCCGCGCGCACUACGCGUCGGGGACGAGUGGCGUUCGCUCUGACCACCAAGCUAACAUGUCAAAUGCAGGUAAAGGUGUAGGCAAGGCUCUACAAAUUACGGACCCGCGUGUACCUGUCACACUAAUAAACUCAGAUUUACAUUAAAAUUGUAUUUUGAAUGGAAGAUGACAACUGCAUUUUCCCUGUCUUACGUCCAUUUCCACAGCAUGUAGACAACGAGGAAGUAACCGUGAGAUGUGGAUUGUUUCAGCAGCUCCAUCGCGUUGACAGACGCGCUUCCUUUUGAAGCAGUUUGCCGCGUCAUGACUGUCGACACAGUUCAAUGAGUUCAUGCAUUGGUCACGUGAUUUUCUUGUAGCGAUACGCGCACCGAUGCAGGGGUUGCUCCAUGAGCUCGGCGCGCGCGCCGGCGCAUUAGUAUCACUGGACCCAUCACUAUUUAGAGGGUUUUGGGCUGACAAAUAACCACGAUUAAGAUCAUUGCUAGGCUAAUCGCCGACAACAUACACGUAUGUAUGUAGUGAGAGUGCUAUCGCUAAACCAUAUAAACAAAUAAAAGCCUUAACUCCAUUGACAAACGACAUGAAAUACAUUAGACUUGACAGUGGAUGUUAGCAAUAACAAAAAGAUUUUGAAUUGAAAAUUUCGUAACUCACCUUUCCAAGCACAACAUAGAUUCCUGCCGAAUUUUCGUGGACGAGGACCUGUUUCACCCAACCAGCAACGAAGUAUUUAUAAGCCUCCAAGCUCUUGAAGUUUUUCAAAUUUUCGUGAGAAUAGGCUGAUUUUGUGUGGACAAGAUAAUUGUAAAUAUCAGCGUAGCAGAUGUCAGGCAGACAGGGCGAAGACAGUGGGUCGAAAAACAUCGAUUUGGGCAUCAAAUAUGGAUCUGGCGACUGUAUAGAACGAAGCUUUUCCACAUAACGCCUUUUAUGCAACACAUCCAGUGAGUUUACGGCAUCAGAAAGCACCGGGUCUUCCAUGAAAUGCAUUUUAAAUUCCUCGAUCAAUUGAAACCAAUGCUAAUACAGAGACAAAAUGACGGACAAGUGGGCGGAACCAUACAGCGAGCACGUGGUUUUGUGACGUCGGUGGGUAGGGUCUAUAGGUACUAGUGAUUUCCAAACUACAAUGCAUCCCUCCCCAAGGAUAUAAUGUAAAUUUAAACAUCUAUGAAAGUUGUGUUUAGAGUGCUUUUGUCACAAAAGUACUUUUUAGAAUCUGAAGCCGCUUGUUGAAUUUUUGAUGUUGACAAUCUGAAUAAAAUUGCUUGUUCAAUAUUUUUUUUAAUGCACAGUAAUAAUGGGAACCCUAAAAGGUCAAAUGUUCUCCACUAAAUUUUCUUUAGGUUGGUAGGUUGUGUGCUGCUAUGCACUUUUAAGUCCUACAGUAUGUGAAUUUUAAUAUUUGAAAUGGACCAGAUUAGCAAUAAACUACUACUUCCAUGUGUUUUUUAAAAUGAAGCAUGAAUUGUACACAUUAAUAAUUAAGAUAUUUGACAACUGAAAUGGCAUAUCACCCCAUUAAUUGGUAUGUGCUGUGUGAACAAUGUUCAUAUCUUACAUUGCCAUUGUCUAGGACGGGCCAGGGCUAGACCGUUGCAAGUUUAGGCCUUGUUCCGACUGUCAGCCAAAUCUGAUUUUUAGCCCAUCCAGAUUGAAACUGGACCCUUUCUAAAACUAGGGAAGUCAGCCCAAAGAAAUUUGAGGAGGAAUCCAUUUGGAUUCACAUAUGCCUGCAGUCUGAAUGCAGCCUUAUAGCCCCAUUCAGAAGUAUCUGGGUGCCUGGGAUAACCCAAAAAAUAUUUUGGCUUCAGUGUCUCUGCAAGCCAAAUAAUUAAAAGGGUGCUACGUAUUUUUUCAUUUGAGCACAAAAAUUGUAUACGAAUACAGCACAAAUUAAAUGCAGGAAAAUGUUUUACAUUUUGUUAUAUAUUGUUAAGUGGGAACUUCUUACUGGUAGGAGUAACCAAAUAACCUCAAAAAGGUGAAAAAUGUUAUCAAGAGAAAGAUUCUGAAGUGAAAUGGAAUUAAAAGCAUAUUUAUUUGUUGGGCGUAGCCUGUCUAAAGUUCCAUGAAACAAAAAAAUGCAAAGCACAAAAGCAUGUUGUAUUGACUUUAAAAAUAUGCCAUUAAAACUUUUCAACAUGAAAAGAAAAAGACCAGGGGUAUUUAGUUUGUCUCGUGCAAACUUCCAGAAAAAGCGCAAAGGAUAUAAACCUCAAAAAUCCUUUGGAGGUGUCAAGAGUCAUUGUGCUUUAGAACAAAACCUCACGGUGAUUGGGUUGGCUCCAUCCAACCAAACGUUAAACCUGUCCUACUCAUCUGUUUUUUCCUCGCUUUGAUAAUGUCGAUACUCAGGCUUGAGCUCCCAAGUGUUUUUGUGUGUCCCCUUCACAUUGUAUAUGCCAAUGUCGCGGAGGAUUUCUUUCAGAUAAAUCUGUGAACAAGAGAUGUUUUUUGAAAAUAUUGCCAAAUAUCUUCUGUAUAUGACAGGACACAUACAACAUUUUGGGAGAGGUGAAUUUGAAAACGCUUAAAUUUUAAGACCCUAUAAAGUGAAUUCAGAUUUGUUUUAAAUAGAAAUUAAACUAUAUAAGAUUUGUGUAUUCAUGGAAAAUUCAGCACAAAGUACUUGAAUCAAACAAGGAUAUAAUGAGAAAUCUGUGCCAACACUUCUGCACUGUUACAAUUGUCCCCAAUUACACAAUUAUGCACAAGAAUUUUUUUUAAGGGCCCAGUGAUGGAAUUCGGCAUCCACCACAAAUUAUCAACCCCACAUUAUAUCACACUUUGUUUCCCUUGUAGUUAACUAUUCUUACAACUCAAAUUCGGUAUUUCAAAGCUCUACAUUAUCAAAAUGUCUCACCACAGGCUGUUUGGUUAUGUCCACCAGGUCUUUGAUGUUGUAGUAUUGGUGUUUCUCAAAAGCAGAAAACAACAUGUCCAACACUUGCUGUUUGUCAGCUCUUGCUCGCUUGCCUUCCUCUUUCUUUUUCCUCUCAUAUUCCAUCUGACAAAAAACAGAUAAUUACUCAUCGCUGGUCUUAACCAAGCCUGAAUUGUGAUCCAUUACACAUGAUUAAUACAGUACCUGCCCGAAUAGUUUGUGAAGUAAAUUGGUGAAUCCAGUAUCAAAAUUUAAACUUACCAGACACACAGGAAACAAUGUUAACGUACAAUGUGAAAGUUUAAAGCUGUAUCAACAUUGCUGCCUACAUAAUAAUGGGAAAUUGAUUUUUCACAGGCCAAAGAUGUAUGGAAUGAGAUGGUCAAACAAGAA
This is a long non-coding RNA of Corythoichthys intestinalis (scribbled pipefish), 7072 nucleotides long. RefSeq lists it as uncharacterized. NCBI's taxonomy places the organism in Eukaryota, Metazoa, Chordata, Actinopteri, Syngnathiformes, Syngnathidae. The record is from RefSeq and is a predicted model, not a curated record. The transcript has 5 exons.